CCUACGGGGGCUGCAGUGGGGAAUAUUGGACAAUGGGCGAAAGCCUGAUCCAGCCAUGCCGCGUGUGUGAAGAAGGCCUUCGGGUUGUAAAGCACUUUCAGUGGGGAAGAAAGCCUUGGGGCUAAUACCCUCGAGGAAGGACAUCACCCACAGAAGAAGCACCGGCUAACUCCGUGCCAGCAGCCGCGGUAAUACGGAGGGUGCGAGCGUUAAUCGGAAUUACUGGGCGUAAAGCGCGCGUAGGCGGUCUGAUAAGCCGGUUGUGAAAGCCCCGGGAUCAACCUGGGAACGGCAUCCGGAACUGUCAGGCUAGAGUGCAGGAGAGGAAGGUAGAAUUCCCGGUGUAGCGGUGAAAUGCGUAGAGAUCGGGAGGAAUACCAGUGGCGAAGGCGGCCUUCUGGACUGACACUGACGCUGAGGUGCGAAAGCGUGGGUAGCAAACAGGAUUAGAUACCCUGGUAGUC
Molecule: ribosomal RNA, 464 nt
Filed under: Vreelandella stevensii
Lineage: Bacteria; Pseudomonadati; Pseudomonadota; Gammaproteobacteria; Oceanospirillales; Halomonadaceae
Description: partial 16S ribosomal RNA
Rfam family: Bacterial small subunit ribosomal RNA
Source: RNAcentral